Molecule: long non-coding RNA, 165 nt
Organism: Eurytemora carolleeae
Lineage: Eukaryota; Metazoa; Arthropoda; Copepoda; Calanoida; Temoridae
Exons: 2
Source: RefSeq, a predicted model, not a curated record
ACGCUGAUGUAAACUUACUUUGAUUUCUUUCUUAAUAGAUGACAUUCGUUUAAACAUCCAAACUCUUCUACCAAGUUUAACAUCAUCUGAAUAAAGAAUUAAAGAAAACACAGUUUAUAUAUGGAGAGUAGUUUGAAACCGGUCAUUCCAAGGGAAAUCAAUACA